GCCUUUCUUUCAUUUUAUAACGCAAACAUCUUCGAAGAAACGAAGGAUUGUAUUGAGCACGGCGGUGAAGAAUAUUAUAAAGUUCAACAGGCUUGCAGUAUAUGAGGAGGCUUUCAUCAGCUGCAAUUGCCUCUUCUACAGAUAAAUGCACACAACAAUUCUGAUGGCACAUCUCCUCUCCUCAAAUUCCCAGUUAUAAAUUCCCAAGUGGAAAAUUUUGGUCGGAAAGUGAGGGAAUUGCAGCUUCGAAGCGACGACGAGGUCAAGGAGACUUGUCGUCGUUAGGUU
This 288-nucleotide unclassified non-coding RNA is filed under the name Hevea brasiliensis (rubber tree). Lineage: Eukaryota; Viridiplantae; Streptophyta; Magnoliopsida; Malpighiales; Euphorbiaceae. The record is from RNAcentral.